Long non-coding RNA from Biomphalaria glabrata, 3974 nucleotides. RefSeq lists it as uncharacterized. Lineage: Eukaryota; Metazoa; Mollusca; Gastropoda; Planorbidae. The record is from RefSeq and is a predicted model, not a curated record. The transcript has 9 exons.
UUGUGGCCCGCGACGCGAGUGUCGGAAAUAAAAUGGCCCGCAGGUCGAAUUAGGUUGGGCAUCACUGGUGUAACAGAUACUGGUAUUGACUGCCAAAAAUAGGUGGAUGGUUGAAAUGCGUCCAGUUUAUUAGAAGUUUAAAAGGAGAGAAUGUUCCGGCAUAACUAGACAGUCACAGGUCGGUGUGUAAUACUAGUUAAAAGAUAUUUACACUAAUUAAUUAUUGCAUAGGCUAACCAACUAUAAGCCUGUAGAAUGAACGUUUUCAAUGAUAUGUUUUUGGAAAGUAAUAUUGUCUCCUAAAUUACGUGGCAUUGUUGUGUCCUAGUUGAGUUAGAGAGUAUGUUAGCUUUGGUAGAUUAUAUUGUGUAUUGUUUUUAGCGACGGUUAAAGGAGUGACAGUGACGUAGUCAGACAGACGAAUAACGCAGGAGAAUAGGCGAACAAGGAAGAACGAUGUGGCGAUAGCUUAGAACAUGGUUGAUUAGAAUUAGAGAUAUUUAAAUAACGACGGAUAAGUAGACAAGACAGGCAUCCCAAGUGUUAAUGAAUGCAUCAUUUAUAGUAGUAGAAAGUCUUGAGUACGUUCAUCUUAUUAAUUGUAAUGUUCUUUGGCUAAUGUACAAUAGUUGAUGAAAUAGUAGUGGAUUUGCAUAACACCCAAGAUACUAGCCAGAACAGCAUGUGUGGAUUCGGAGGAGUCUCUAUCUAAGGGGAGGAGGACCACCACUAGGGAGCAAAAUAUCGAUAUUUAAAAUUAAAAAAUCGAACUUUUUUUUAUUUCAUUAUUUGAAAGUUUAUCCAUUUAUCUACAAGUUUUGAACAUUGAAAUAUGUAAUUUUUAACUUUAAAUAUUGUUUUUAGUCAUUUUUCUAGGGCAUGUAUAAUGUUUAUUUCAUCUAAUUCCGAAUCUACAUGUAAAUAAUACCCUUGGUAACGCAUCGAAUACUUUUGAGUAGUCAUAUUCGACCUAGGCAUAUUUGGCAUCAAUGAAACCGUCGUUUCCUACACUUUCCUAAAAUAACCGUAUCUCCGAAAUAAUAUAAAUAGCGUUUCGGCUUUGAACGGAAACCCGUGGUCACCGAGAGUGUAAAAUAUAUUUAUUUAUAGAUUCUAGUAUCUUAUUAUUUCCGACAAAAUGAUUGGUCGGCAUUGGGCUUCCGCCCCUAUCGACAUUAGUUUGAACAUAAACAAAACAUGGUUGUUUACGUUUCAUUGAUGAUAUAGUUUUAGAUGCUCUACCUGUCGACUUAUUAUUCAACUUCUAAAUCUAGAUCUAGCAUGAAAACUAAAAAGAAUAGACCUUAGUCUAGAUUCCUCAUUCUAGAUCUAGACAUUAUAAGACUAUUAGCCGGCAGGCUAGGCUGAGAUGAGGCCCUAUCGAGUAUCGACAUCGCUAUUACUAUUAUUGAUAAUUUGAUUAUUCAUUCAUAUUCCCAUCAACUAGAUCUAGGUCUAGAUCUAAACAAAAACAUCCUUACCACAAGAUAACUGGUGCCUCUCAAUCAAGUAGGCCUAAAGCCUAUCAAAGCUUGCAAUUAUAUAAGAUAAGGACAAAUACACAUGUGAUCUAGAUCUAGCUGGAUUAUCAACAGUUUCACUACUACAAGAUCUGAUCUAGACUUAGACCUAGACUAGAUAAUAACUAAUACUAAUUUUCUUCUCUACAAGUUCUAGUCUAGUUACCACUUUGACAUUCACUUUGGAAACAAGACUCAAAUACCCAGGUUCUUCGGCAUUGAUGCAAUCAACUGAAAUUUUAUGGAAAAGAUCAGGGCAGAAGUUUACACAGAGAUAAACAACCUUGUCUGAUGGAAACACCAGGUUGUUUUUGAGAGUUUUAUUAACAGAUCUGAGCCCAGGUAUUGUCGUAAAACAGAACAAUUCGUCGGCCUUACAGGUUUCGAACUACUUGGUUCUCUCCGCAGCCAUGUUUUAUUCUGAAAUUCCUUAAAUAAGCCAACAUGUGAGAUAAAUGUUUGAAGCAAUGAAAAGAGCCUGAUGGGUAUGACUUUGUGGACAGCACACAUUUUAUUGAUGCAAACUUUGAUGAUAUAAUGAAAAAUCUGAAACCCUCAGCUAUUCCUACAAUAUUUCAGUGUCAUAAUGAUGCAGCUUCCUGGCCAGUUAAAAAGAAGGAAAAAUAAAGUCUUAAGGUGAAAGAAGAAAUUGUACAAUUCAAAGAGACUUCUGAUAUAUUAUAAAAAGAAAGUUCAAUGUUUAUGAGAGGAGUUAUAGAAAAGCCAACCUCACCUAAAACAGUUAUGAUGAUUUAUCUUUACAUCUGUUUGAGGAGCCUACAGGAAAUGCAAAUUAUACAGAUGAAAAAAUAUCCUUCACAAUAACAUUGCACUUUUACUGUCCUAAUGUGUAUGAGUUCCUUUCUACCACGUUUAACUUGCCUUCAACCAGAAAAUCAUGAUUGCCUUUAUAUGUGGACAAAUAAGCCUAUACAGUAUUUCCAAGAAUGAGAACUUUGCAGGGUAGAGUCAUUUGACUUACAAGCCUCUUAGAGACCACUGGGACAUUGUUCUGGGCUGCCUUUGGUAUGGGGAACUCUCAGGCACCAGCUAUUAAAGAAGAAACAAAUAGCAGUCAGGUUAAUGGUGACUCAGAGAUAAAAGACAGUGUGCUGCUGAAAGUCAUUGAGGUGAUUGGCUACGUUUUGUAUGGAGUUUACAUUCUUGAUGCUGUCGUGGUCCUGAUCAACUUGUUCAUUGCUAUGAUGAAUUUGAAGACAUUUAGAAUGUCCAAAAGAUUAGUCAGCUAAGGACCCUAAAAUGUUGGCCUGUUUACAAAUAUGAGAUCUUCCUUGACUACACAAGUACCUUACAAAAGAAGGCUACUCACUUGUGUUUGGAUGUCAGCUGUUUUGUCCCUGUGGCCCUUUUCAAGCAUGACAGAUACUAUUCUAAGCAGCUUUUUUCUAUGGAAAUUAUUCAACCACAGAAGCUGUGAGGGAUAUCUGAAAUCCAUUGCUCACUUGUCUAGAAAGACUUCCAUCGAUUGAGUGAUAAAAGAUUAAGUGUACACAACUUUUAGUAGUCACCACAUAACACUUAACAUUUUGAUGCUCAAGACAAUACUGUUCAGGAAUGGUUUAUUUUUCUUUAUGCUGAGAGUGUCCAAGAAAGAUAAGGUCAAAGGUUAAUUGGACAAACAAUAAACUUUGUCUUUGAAUCUGAAAUUGUAGAGAAAAAAAAACAACUUAGUGUUGUUGUUUUUUAAUGUACCAGGUACCUACUAUUCAUUUACUUUGACUGUUGACUUUAAGUUAGAAAUUAAGGAAAGAUUUCUUUGAGCUAUAUUUGUCAAUGACCAUAGGCAUUAAGAGAGUUGACACCUCAUUUUACUUUUCAACAAGAUGAUGUCUUAAAAAAAUUAAGAGCUUUUGAUGGAAUUCUGUGGUUGAAUAACAAGUAAAGUUAAUCACAGGAUUCCAUCAAAAUCAUUGCAAUUUGAACAUUGUUGGUAGUGUCAAUGUUAUUAAGUUUUUUAGUUCUUGGUGUUACUACAUUAUUCAUUUUCUAGUGACCAGGCAGUGUUUUAUACCAUGAAUGAAUAUCUGUUGUAAGAAGUUUAAGUUAUACAACUCAAUCAAUAAUAUCUUUGACAAUAAAAUAUUUUGAUAAAGUUUAUAUUUUUGGAACAGAAUAUGCUAAUGUGUUAAAUGUACAUUUUUCUUUUUUUUUUGGAAUAACAACUGAUAUUUAGUUUUAUCCCUUUGUGUCUUUCUACAGUAGAUGCACUGUCAUACUAAAAAGAAAUUUUAAAAAAUUAUAAUAACUUCUAAUCAAAUUGUCUCCCUUUUAAAAUCAAAUAUCUAAAUGAAUCAUGCUACUUUGAUUCUACACAAUCUACAGGACUACCAAUGUACAUUAGUUUUGAACAAAAAGUUGCUAACUUUAAAUAAUUGAUUAACUCAUUUUGAUAUUUAUGUAUACCUUGUAAUAAAAGUGGCAUUCAUUUUACAA